Molecule: long non-coding RNA, 1518 nt
Organism: Vicia villosa (hairy vetch)
Lineage: Eukaryota; Viridiplantae; Streptophyta; Magnoliopsida; Fabales; Fabaceae
Exons: 3
Source: RefSeq, a predicted model, not a curated record
ACUAAAAGACUACUACUUCUUCUUUUUGUUUGAUUUGGUAAGUUUAAUCUGUUUAUUUUUUCUCCUAAAUAUGCUCUGAAAAUCAUAUUUAUUUAAAUUAUGAGAGUUUAAUUUAUAUUAUGACAUGUUUUUUAUGAUAAAUUUUGAUUAGGUGAUGACAGUAUUGUUGAUAGUUGGAUGUGCAUUUUUAAGAAUUUCUAUGUCAGUAUUAAUUGUUAGCAUCUACUGUUUUCUGCAUUCUUUGCAUUUCAAGAAUUUUUAUGCCUUUAUAAUAUGUAUAAUAUACUGGAGUAUAAUUUUAUAAUGCCCUGGAAGAAGAAAUUACGAGGCAUAUCACCAUGUUUCUCAAAGGGCAGAUUGCUUGGAAUGUCAUCAUUGCCGCAGAGAAUCUGAAGAAUGCUCCAAUAGUUAUACCUAGUUAUGUUGUCUUGUAUGAAGUUUGUUAUAUGUAAUAAAUUUUAUUUUAGUAAAAAAAAUUGAGUUUGGUGUAUGGUUUUAGUUGCAAACAAAAUGCUAGUACAACCCCCAACUUAACUAAGUUAUGAAAAAAGAAUUUAUAGUCGUCUCUAUUUUUUAUGCUUUUAACACUGUAGCCGUUUUCAGAGCACGAAAGCAAAGAAAUAAACGUGAGCAAAGAUAGCAAAGAAACCACAUUUAACAGCUCAUCAAUUAUUUUGGUUUUUUAUCCAUUUGAUUCUUAAAGGAAGAGGUCCUAGUAACCUGGAGUUCGACUUCCACUGAGAGAGUGAGUCAAUGAGACCAAGAUUCUAUCAUUCUCUGGAGGGCCAGUUGCUUCAUUUUUAGAACUCCAAGUCUCCAACACUGAAUACAUUAGGCAUGUCGCUUUCUCGAUCAUAAAAUCUGGUUCGCCGCCUUAAUCCUUAGAGAGCAAAAGAACUAUUUUGAGAAGAUCGGACGCAAAAUUGAACGACAUUCAUAGAAGACAGAGAUAAAGCCAGAUAGAAGACUUUACUGAUAGGCCGCUGCAGUGAUUGGCGACUACUUCCCUUUUUUUACAUAGAGAUAGUGAGCAGCAGGUUCAAGCGUUUCAAUGGCGGUUUCAUCCGCUAACUCCGACAAAGAAGAUGAAGACAAGUAUAGAUUGGUAACUUCUCUUGCUUUGGGCCUCCUUGGAUGAGCGAUUGUAAGGUAACACAUAGUGGCUUUGUUGGGCUUAACACCAAACCUAUUUGGAUGCGUUGCGAUUCGGAUUGCCUUAGUGCCUGAGUUUCAAGUGUUGUUCUUUUCUCAGUGUGUAUGAAGUGAUUUGAAGGAGUACAGUACAAUGUGGGAAGUGUAUUGGUGGUUGAGAAAGUGUAUUGGUUCAAUCAAGGACAAUUGUGUCAUGGUGUAUGGCUGCUGCAGAAUUCAUUUAUAGAUGGAGACCAAAGAGAAUGUAUGCCACGAAGUAGCUGGAAUGGAAUAGAAUUAAUGCUUUGAUUCUAGUUUUAAAAGAAUGCUUCCAAUAGUAAUUUUCUUCCUGGUAUACGACUCUGCAAACUGUUACUUAAGCAGAGA